This 400-nucleotide ribosomal RNA is filed under the name uncultured bacterium. RNAcentral's name for it is "partial 16S ribosomal RNA". It matches the Rfam family "Bacterial small subunit ribosomal RNA", at positions 355 to 747 of the family's 1533-position model. The record is from RNAcentral.
UGAGGAAUAUUGCGCAAUGGGCGAAAGCCUGACGCAGCGACGCCGCGUGAAGGAUGAAGGUCUUCGGAUUGUAAACUUCUGUUAAGUGGGAAGAAAGCUUGUUUUAUAAUACAAGACAAGUAUGACGGUACCAUUAGAGAAAGCACUGGCUAACCUCGUGCCAGCAGCCGCGGUAAUACGAGGGGUGCAAGCGUUAUUCGGAAUGACUGGGCGUAAAGGGCGCGUAGACGGUAUAUUAAGCUUGUCGUUAAAUUCCCCAGCUUAACUGGGGGCCUGCGGCGAGAACUGAUAUUCUAGAGGGUGAGAGAGAAGAGUGGAAUUUCCGGAGUAGCGGUAAAAUGCGUAGAUCUCGGAAGGAACACCGAUGGCGAAGGCAGCUCUUUGGCUCAUACCUGACGUU